CGCAGCCGCGGUAAUUCCAGCUCCAAUAGCGUAUAUUAAAGUUGUUGCAGUUAAAAAGCUCGUAGUUGAAUUUCGGGGUUUAUCCGUUGGUCGGGGCUUUUUGGUCUGUACUGGCGUGAUGGAUUCCUACCUUCUGAAUAACCGGCAUGCCAUUAAUUUGGUGCGCCGGGGAAGCAGGACUGUUACCUUGAAAAAAUUAGAGUGCUUAAAGCAGGCUUAUGCCUGAAUACAUUAGCAUGGAAUAAUGAAAUAGGACGUUUGAUCCUAUUUUGUUGGUUUCUAGGAUCGACGUAAUGAUUAAUAGGGAUAGUUGGGGGCAUUAGUAUUCAAUUGUCAGAGGUGAAAUUCUUGGAUUUAUUGAAGACUAACUACUGCGAAAGCAUUUGCCAAGGAUGUUUUCAUUAAUCAAGAACGAAAGUUAGGGGAUCGAAGACGAUCAGAUACCGUCGUAGUCUUAACCAUAAACUAUGCCGACUAGGGGUCGGAUGAUGUUAAUUUUUUAAUGACUCAUUCGGCGCCU
This 520-nucleotide ribosomal RNA is filed under the name uncultured Acaulospora. RNAcentral describes it as "SSU rRNA". It matches the Rfam family "Eukaryotic small subunit ribosomal RNA", at positions 569 to 1088 of the family's 1831-position model. Lineage: Eukaryota; Fungi; Glomeromycota; Glomeromycetes; Diversisporales; Acaulosporaceae. The record is from RNAcentral.